RNAcentral lists this long non-coding RNA (1005 nucleotides) under Chrysemys picta bellii (western painted turtle). Its description in RNAcentral is "lncRNA (ENSCPBG00000000150.1)". The record is from RNAcentral. Lineage: Eukaryota; Metazoa; Chordata; Testudines; Emydidae.
UGUACUCAAUGCUUUUUUUGCCUCUGUCUUCACAAACAAGGUCAGCUCCCAGACUGCUGGACUGGGCAGCACGGUAUGGGGAGAAGGUGACCAGCCCUCUGUGGAGAAAGAAGUGGUUCGGGACUAUUUAGAAAAACUGGACGAGCACAAAUCCAUGGGGCCGGAUGCGCUGCAUCCGAGGGUGCUAAAGGAGUUGGCAGAUGUGAUUGCGGAGCCAUUGGCCAUUAUCUUUGAAAACUCAUGGCGAUCAGGGGAGGUCCCAGAUGACUGGAAAAAGGCUAAUGUAGUGCCCAUCUUUAAAAAAGGGAAGAAGGAGGAUCCGUGGAACUACAGGCCAGUCAGCCUCACCUCAGUCCCUGGAAAAAUCAUGGAGCGGGUCCUCAAGGAAUCAAUUAUGAAACACUUAGAGGAGAGGAAAGUGAUCAGGAACAGUCAGCAUGGAUUCACCAGGAGGAAGUCAUGCCUGACUAACCUAAUUGCCUUCUAUGAGGAGAUAACUUGGUCUGUGGAUGAGGGGAAAGCAGUGGAUGUGUUAUUCCUUGACUUUAGCAGAGCUUUUGAUACGAUCUCCCACAGUAUUCUUGCCACCAAGUGUCACGGAGUAUUGGGGGACUCAGGGCCCUGCACCCCCGGCCUCCUGCGAUUCACCAUGACUCUCAGCCAGCCAGUAAGGAAGAAGGUUUAUUUGGAUGACAGGAAUACAGUCCAAGACAGGUCUUGCAGGCACAGACAACAGGAUACCUCUCAGUUAGGUCCAGCUUGGGGUCCCAGGGCAUCCCAGCCCACCCCCCUUUGGGAGGUCAGAGCCAUCUCUGCCUCCCAGCCAUCUCUCCAGCCUGCUUCCAGCACACUGCCUUCAGCGACCCCUCCCACCGCCUUUGUUCAGUUUCCCGGGCCCCGGAGUCACCUGACCUCCAACCCCCUCCUGGGUUCUCAUGUUACAAGCUCAGGUAUGUUCCCUUGGGCCGGCUCCCAUCCCCCGAUGCAGACCAUCCUAGCCACACU